CAGACUUUGGGACUGGUCCUCUGUCUUCCUGGUGGGGCCUCCCUGAAAUAAAUCCCUUUCUUGUUUCCCCACCACUGGUCUCUCUGCUUUUGGGUUUUGUCGAUGGCAAGUGGCCGAACCUGGUCUGCUUGGGAGCCCUGGAGCCGGGCGCUCUUGUGCCCUUGGCCUCUGGUAACAGUCCGUUUGUGGACAGACAAGCUGGGGACAAAAUAAAGAAAGCUAGUUGGGGUGACAUUUACUAUUUCUGGCGGCUUGGUUCUGGCAUGCCUUCUCCAAAUAUUUAACCAAUAGUUAAAGUAGUUUUACUUUCAGGUUUGGUUUCUUCUCCUCAAUGCUUUUAACUUCCUCAGUCUGUUCUCUUGCUCCGUGGGAUGAGGAAACAGAACAAGGGUGAGUUGGGAGACAACUGGAAGCUCAUUCUUGAACAGACCAGCAGUGCUGUGGAGCAGGGCUGGGGAUUCUGACGGUGACCUUUACGGACACCUUCCACAGUGGAGCGGUUCCUUGUCUGGACGAUGUGGUGAUACCCCUGUCCUGGUGUGAGGACUCAGCAGCUCUGCAGAGGGAGAGCCCCACAGAAAUGGUCCUGGCACUCCCGCACCUAGACCCUGGGGUAGCCCACACAAUGCAGCCCUCCCAGGAUGAUGAGUUCCAGAAGCAGUACCUGGACUUGCUGCAGAUGAAGAAUGAACUAGAAGAAACCUGUAAGAAGAAGGAUGAGCUUCUCCGUGAUGCACAAAGAGCCUUAGCAGGUGUGGGGAGGGCUCAGCGCAUGAUGGGGCAGGAGGUUCCUGCCAUGCCCUCAGUGCACCUACCCUGGCAGGAAGAUCUUCCUGAAGCAAGGAGUUUCCUCUCCUUCUGUGGAAUGCACACUCUGCUAAAUCUGAAAAUAACAAGGCAGGGUGUGGUUGCUCAUCAGCUGGGCGGUCAGGGCCUUUCCCAGCAUGUUCUCAAACCUGCCCUCCAGGUGUGGUCACCAGUUGAAUUCAGACAUUUCCCUCUGCUCUUUCAAGACAGUAUGGUGUCUGAGAGAGUGGGGGGUUGUGGGACAGGGGGCUGUAGUCGCUUUCAGGCUUAACCUCUGUUAUCUUUCCUCUCUGAAUGAAAAUCUUCCUGGGGCAGAGGAGCAGGACAAAAGAGAGACAGUGGAGAGAGAAAAGCAGCUUCUUGAGAAAAACUGUGAAGAUCUGCAGCAAAAGUUAAUGCUUUUAGAAAUAACUCUCAAGGAAACCAGGAUCCAAUUGAAAAAGGAGAGGAAAGAGAGAGAAGACCUUCAGAGAGAGCAGGAUGAGAGGAUUCGGAGGCUUGAGGCCCAAAUGAACAUUAUCACUGCAAAUAAGCAAAAUGCUAAAAAUUACUGCAUUUCAAAGACAACGGCAAAUGAUAGCGAAGAAUACAGUUCAGAGACUUCAUGGUGGUCUAAAAUUUGCAAGCUGAUACAAGAGUUGUAUUUCCUAAUUACCAAGUUUUUCUGUUGUGGAUAAUUUCAGGUAAUUUUUAUAAGUUUUCAUAACAGGUUUCUGAUAUAGCUUAUUUUUACAUGUAUGCACCUUUUCUGUUUUGUGGCAAAAUUUUAGUAGAAAGAUAUAAAAUACUACUAUAGGGCAUCAAUGCCUGGCAAACAAAAGAUAUAGUCAAUGUGGCUGGAUAGUUAAUUCAAAUGGACAUGGAAAUACGGAUUUGAAGAAAAAGAGGUCAGAUCUGUAUUAUCCUGGAAAAGAAACAUAUUGGAAUAUAUUUAUCAAAAAAUGCUAAAUCCUUCUGAAAGUCGCACAUGAAUCAUUACACAAAUGGAUAUCCAUGCUGUGUUCUUGAGUAGGACAGGCCGGUUCCAUAUGCAAAUCAAUUCUUAGUUCACUUAUAAAUUUCAUGUGUUCUGAAUUAAAAUUUCAGGAAGGUUAAUUGUAAAAUUUAAAUGGAGCUGAUCAAAAACAAAAUAAAAAAGCCAAGACAAUUCAGAAGAGGUACAAUGAAAUUUAUAGAACUGCAGUAAUUAGAACAGUGUGUCAACUGAGCAUGAAGACACAACAACAGAACACACUGCAUAGUCUAAAAGUAGAACCCCACCAUAUAUAGGAAUUAACUGCAUGUGAAAAGUGUUACUUCAAAUUAGUGGGAGAGUAUGAAUUGUACAAUACCUGUUGUCAAACUGGACAGCUGUGCAGAAUGAAAGGGUGAUUAGAUCUAUUGUAAAUUUUGCACAAAGUGAAUUCCAGCUUGACCUCAGAUUAAACAUGAAAAAACUGCAUAAAAUCAGUAAAUGGCAGAUAAUUUAUGAAUAAUCUUGGAACAUCAAAUUUAUUUUUAAAUGCCAUAAAACCUGAAGACAUGAAAGUACUGACAAAACUACAUAAAAAAUAAAGAUAAAAUUUGUUGUGGUCAAAAAGAACCUAAAGAAAUUCAGAAGCCAAAAAUGUUCUCAAGACAGCCUUGCUUUAUGUCAGAGAAAAGAGCUGAUUUUAUAACUUAUAUAUCAUAAAGAGCCACAAGUCAAAAAAAUGGGCAAACUCUGAGUAGAUAGCUUAUAGAAAAGAUGUUCAAGUAACUCAAAAUAAGAGAAAUGAAACUAAAACCAUGAGAUGUAGUGUUUCACUUCAUAUGCUAUCAAACCGCAUUACCAAUGUUUCUGAAAACAUGUCCUUUCAUGGGAGUCCAAAUGGUAUAAUAUCUAUUGCAAAUUGUGUCUAAUAUUUCUUAAGUUUUAAUAGAUGUCCAUUUUGGCCCCACAGGUUCAGUUUUAAGGCAUACAUGCACUCUCUCUCAUACUCAUACAGUAAGAAAAAUUAUGUAUUUAUAAGAUGUCCACUGCAGCACUCACUAUAACUUUAAAGACAGGACCUACUUAUAUGUUCAUCUAUAUGGGAGUGGUAAUAUAAGUUUUAGCACACUUAUACAAUGGAAUAUUAUAUAGCCAGAAAAUUGAGAAACAGAGCACUAUUUGUAAUGUGGGGAAAGUGGGGUGCAAACCAACAGGAAUAGUGGCACUCAUAUAUACUUGUAUGUAUACCCUUAGAUGAUCUCUGGAGUAACAUGAGGAACUAGCAAUGUUGGUUCCUUCUAAAAAACAGGGAUGAUGGUGGUGGUGGUGGUAAUAGGGAAUUUUGCAUUCUUAGAAAAGCAUCAGCCAGUUCAAAGGAGAGGUCUGAUAGUGAGGUCCCAAACUAGAAAAAACAAAACGUGAAUCCUAAUCUUGUUUGUAUUAUGGAGUUGAUUUCUACUUGCUCAAAUUCUUUGAAAAAUGAGAUAUAAAGUAUGAUGUGAUUCUGAAAUCCCAGCUGGUGUCUUUCACUUUCUAGCUGCAAUUUAUAGUUUUAGGUGUUAGGGGACAGUGGGUCUGCAGUGUAUCUUUGGUGUUUUUGGACUUUCCUUUCAGCUGACUUAAUAUUUGCACACUAUGCUUUUGUUAUAAUGAAUUACUUCCAGUUGCACAAGCUUGACAGGUUACCCCUUUAUUCUAGAUAGCUGUGCACAGUAUUUGGACUUCUUCAAAUAACCUCUUUUACUGAUCCUCACCUUCAUUUUGCAGGCUGGUUUUUCCUUGAAGUCUUGGAUUUCCUGAAUCCCUGAAACUGGGUUGUGUGGCCCUCCUUUGUACUCGCAUUGCACCUGCAGCAUGAUUUUGAAAAUUUACAUUACCCAUUUACUCUGUCUCACUGGUGAUGCCUUGCUACCAAGGACUAGUUUAUCUUUGUCACUGUAAUCUUAGCUCCUACUUCUAUGUCCAGCACUCGAUCAGGAGGUGGAAAAUGUUGGCUGAAUAAAGUUUCCCACUUUCUAUAUCCUCAUUAUGACAGAUGCUUCAAAACACUCUUAAAACAAAGGGUGUAGUUUUUGAUAUGGAGAACAAAGGCAAAAGGAAAUGUAGACGAAAUUAAAUUUCCUUAUAACUUGCAGCCCACUGACAAAUACUUGAGGCAGGCAGGUAUUUGGAACUCCAGGAACUCCCAACUGUCUUAAAGCUUUGCUAGAGGCAAAAUGCUACCUUAGCUUGACAAUAGCCAGGCCUCCAGGAUCCUGUAAUGUUAGGAGUUAGUUGGAAAGUUAGGUGGUCAGGGCCUGGGUCCCCAACAAGAAGAUAUGGAGCCAGGACAGCUAAAAUAAAACAGCACUAAUAUCCUGUUUUUGCAGCUUAGACAGGACUGUACUAGCAUUCUGUUUUAUGCCUUUGCAGAAAUGACUUCUGCAAAACGUCCUAAAAUAAAACCAUAAAGCAUUUGUCACCAUCACGGGCAAGGAGCAGUUAAAACCUAAGCCCCCAGAAGUCAGACAAAAAAAGAAAAAAGAAAAAAAGACAAUCAGCACAUUGACAUUAACUUAAUAGGCAGAAAGAAAGUUUGAAGCCCCACGACCAAGAGCUGAGGGCAUUAAGGGGAUACAAAAUCCUGUAACAAUUGGAAACUGGAACUGAAUACAUGGUGAAUCAGCUCUUUUCUCAGGAAGAACAUUGUGGCAAGUCUCAGCAUGUAUGUCCUCACAGCCCUAUUUUCCAGGAACUGCAGUCCCAAUUCACUCUACCCACUUCAUAUUAGGAUCUUUAAAACUGAUGUGAUUUGAUGUGGCGGUCAGGAGCAAACAGCCAAGAAAGAAUUCUUAAGACGUUUUUGGUGCAAAAAAAAAAAAGGGUGGUUUUAUUAAAGCAUGGGGACAGGACCCAUGGGCAGAAAGAGCUGUACUGGGAAUGUGAGGAGUGACCGAUUAUAUACUUUUAAAUUGGGAGGGGUAGAGACAAAGGAUGUUUCCAAAAGGAUUUUCAUAUGUUAAAGAAGACUUAACUGUUGCAGGAAUUCUCUGCCUUUAGUGCCCACAGUUCUUGGUCACCCCACUUCAAAGAAUGGUGGGCAGCAAAGUUUACUGAAGGAUAGUACAAAACUCCCAGAGAGGGAGGGCAUACCCAAGAGGGUUGCCCCUGGAGUUUCUAAGUUUAGGGUUUUUUAUGAGCUCUUUUGUGGAACUUCCUUAAACAAUCAAGGCGUGCUGAGUUGUGCCAAUCAGGGCUUUGGUCAAGUACCUGUCUACCUAUUAGGUUAAUGUCCACAUGCUGAUGAUCCUUUUUUGCUGACAUCUGGGGGCUUAGGUCUUAACUUCUCCUUGCCCAUGACACUGACAAAUGCUUCUGUGGUUAAUUGCCUUACUUUAGGAUGUAAUGCAGAAGUCAUUUCUGCAAGGGCUGCAAAGCAGAAUGUCAGUGCAAAACAGGAUGUCAGUGCUGUUUUAUUUUAGCUGUCCUGACUCCAUAUUUUCUUGUUCAGGACUCUGGCCCUGACUACCUUACUGUCCAACUAACUCCUAACACUGUGACAACCACUCACAAAUAAUAUCACUCACUUUUGACUCCCAGGUCAAUUGUGAGGUUUAAAUUUUAAAAGAACAUAUGAAAAGAUGCUCAACAUCACUCAUCAUCAGGGAAAUGAAAAUCAAAACCACAAGAAGAUAUCACCUCACACCUGUCAAAAUAGCCACAAGUAAGAACACAGGAAACAACAGAUGUUGGUGAGGAUGUGGAGAAAAACGAACCCUCUUGCACUGUUGGUGGGAAUGCAAAUUGGUGUAGCCACUGUGGAAAACAGUAUGAAGGUUCCUCAAAAAUUAAAAAUAGAACCACCAUAUGAUCCAGUAAUCACACUACUUGGUAUUUAUCCCCAAAAUAUAAAAACCCUAAUUCAAAGGGAUACAUGCACCCCUAUGUUUAUUGCAGUAUUAUUUACAACAGCCAAACUAUGGAAGCUGCCCAAGUGUCCAUUGGUAGAUGAAUAGAUCAAGAAGAUGUGGUAUGUGUGUGUAUGUAUGUAUGUAUGUGUGUGUGUGUGUGUGUGUGUGUGUAAUGGAAUAUUAUUCAUCCAUAAAAAAGAAUAAAAUCUUGCCAUUUGCAAUGACAGAGAUGGAGCUAGAGAGUAUAAUGCUAAGCAAAAUAAGUCAGAGAAAGACAAAUAACAUAUGAUAUCACUCAUAUGCGGAAUUUAAGAAACAAAACAAGUAAAGAAAAAAAAAAAGAGAGAGAGACAAACCGAGAAUCAAACUCUUAACCAUAAAGAACAAACUGAUGGUUACCAGAGGGGAGGUAGGUGAGGAGGUGAGUGAAAUAGGUGAUGGGGAU
Zalophus californianus (California sea lion) is the source of this 6094-nucleotide long non-coding RNA. The record is from Ensembl. Lineage: Eukaryota; Metazoa; Chordata; Mammalia; Carnivora; Otariidae.